UAGACGGUGGGAGAGGGUGGUGGAAUUCCCGGAGUAGCGGUGAAAUGCGCAGAUACCGGGAGGAACGCCGAUGGCGAAGGCAGCCACCUGGUCCACCCGUG
Molecule: unclassified non-coding RNA, 101 nt
Filed under: synthetic construct
Description: RNA (101-MER) from synthetic construct (PDB 1YSH, chain B)
Rfam family: Bacterial small subunit ribosomal RNA
Source: RNAcentral